Molecule: ribosomal RNA, 324 nt
Filed under: uncultured bacterium
Lineage: Bacteria
Description: bacterial SSU rRNA
Rfam family: Bacterial small subunit ribosomal RNA
Source: RNAcentral
AUUGAACGCUGGCGGCAUGCCUUACACAUGCAAGUCGAACGGCAGCACGGGAGCAAUCCUGGUGGCGAGUGGCGAACGGGUGAGUAAUAUAUCGGAACGUGCCCGGUCGUGGGGAUAACGUAGCGAAAGCUACGCUAAUACCGCAUACGAUCUAUGGAUGAAAGCGGGGGGAUCGCAAGACCUCGCGCGAUUGGAGCGGCCGAUAUCAGAUUAGGUAGUUGGUGAGGUAAAGGCUCACCAAGCCGACGAUCUGUAGCUGGUCUGAGAGGACGACCAGCACACUGGGACUGAGACACGGCCCAGACUCCUACGGGAGGCAGCAGU